Molecule: regulatory RNA element, 177 nt
Organism: Roseburia sp. CAG:50
Lineage: Bacteria; Bacillati; Bacillota; Clostridia; Lachnospirales; Lachnospiraceae
Rfam family: Lysine riboswitch aptamer
About the family: Riboswitches are metabolite binding domains within certain messenger RNAs that serve as precision sensors for their corresponding targets. Allosteric rearrangement of mRNA structure is mediated by ligand binding, and this results in modulation of gene expression.
Source: Rfam
UUAACAGAUAGAGGUUGCGUGGAUUAAGAGUAAUCUGCCGUAUGUUCCGAUUCACAGAUGAGGGCAGAGGAAAGGAAGACACGCCGAAAGAAUAUAUGGGAACGGCUGUAUAUUGCUUGGGGGCAAUGUGAAGAACAUUGUAACUGUCAUCGAAAACGAUGGUGCGCUAUCACUGAA